AGCAGCAUUACAGGGCAAAAUCUCCAUUGGCAUGGAACCACUAAGAUAUCCAAACCAAUCAAGCCAGGAUUUCAAUAGUGUGUGCCCUGCCAAAGGAGAUUUGCCCGGCAAUACUUCU
Ricinus communis (castor bean) is the source of this 118-nucleotide non-coding RNA. The record is from Rfam. Lineage: Eukaryota; Viridiplantae; Streptophyta; Magnoliopsida; Malpighiales; Euphorbiaceae.